AACGAACGCUGGCGGCAUGCCUAACACAUGCAAGUCGAACGAAAAGUCCGGGUCUUGUGGCGCACGGCUGCGUAAGGCGAGGGAACAUGCACUUAGGUUCGGAAUACCUCCCCGAAAGGGGUGCUAAUACCGGAUAAUGUCUUAGGACCAAAGAUUUAUCGCGAUUGAAUGGGCCCGCGUUGGAUUAGAUGGUUGUGAGGGUAAAAGCGUACCACGGCGACGAUCCAUAGCUGGGCAGAGAGGAUGAUCAGCAACACUGGGACUGAGACACGGCCCAGACUCCUACGGGAGGCAGCAGUGGGUAAUAUAGGAACAUGGGCGGAGGCCUGAACCAGCUAUGCCGGGAGAGUGAUGAAGGCCGUAGGGUUGUAAAGCGCUAUUAACCGGGAUGAUAAUGACGGUACCGGGAGAAUAAGCCACGGCUAACUACGUG
Molecule: ribosomal RNA, 433 nt
Filed under: uncultured bacterium
Lineage: Bacteria
Description: partial 16S ribosomal RNA
Rfam family: Bacterial small subunit ribosomal RNA
Source: RNAcentral